Molecule: RNA transcript, 907 nt
Organism: Lipotes vexillifer (Yangtze River dolphin)
Lineage: Eukaryota; Metazoa; Chordata; Mammalia; Artiodactyla; Lipotidae
Gene name: nucleophosmin-like
Exons: 3
Source: RefSeq, a predicted model, not a curated record
GUGAUUCCGUCCUGUGCACCUGUUCCCUGGAGCAGUAGUCUUUUUUCUCCGUCCGCCUUCUCUCCCACCUAAGUAUGUGCCACCAACCCAUGGAAGAUUCGAUGGACAUGGACAUGAGCCCCCUGAGGCCCCAGAACUAUCUUUUCUGUUGUGAACUAAAGGCCGACAAAGAUUAUCACUUUAAGGUGGAUAAUGAUGAAAAUGGGCACCACCCCGGGCACCAGUUAUCUUUAAGAACGGUCAGUUUAGGGGCUGGCACAAAGGAUGAACUGCACAUUGUCGAAGCAGAGGCGAUGAAUUAUGAAGGCAGUCCAAUCAAAGUAACACUGGCAACUUUGAAAAUGUCUGUGCAGCCAACGGAUUUCCUUGGGGGCUUUGAAACAACACCACCUGUGGUCUGAUGGUUGAAGUGUGGUUCAGGGCCUGUGCAUAUUAGUGGACAGCACUUAGUAGCUGUGGAGGAAGAUGCAGAGUCAGAAGACAAAGAGGAGGAGGGUGUGACACUCCUAAGUAUGUCUGGAAAGCAUUCUGCCCCUGGAAGCGGUAGCAAGCUUCCACAGAAAAAAGUAAAACUUGCUGCUGAUGAAGAUGAAGAUGAUGAUGAAGAUGACAAUGAAGAUGAUGACUCUGAUGAUGAGGAAGCUGAAGAAAAAGCUCCAGUAAAGAAAUCUCCAUCAACACCAAGAUCAAAAGGUCAAGAAUCCUUCAAAAAACAGGAAAAAACUCCUAGAACACCGAAAGGACCUAGCUCUUAGAAGACAUUAAAGCAAAAAUGCAAGCAAGUAUAGAAAAAGGUGGUUCCCUUCCCAAAGUGGAAGCCAAAUUCAUCAAUUAUGUGAAGAACUGUUUCCGGAUGACUGACCAGGAGGCUAUUCAAGAUCUCUGGCAGUGGAGGAAGUCUCUUUAA